Molecule: ribosomal RNA, 326 nt
Filed under: uncultured eukaryote
Lineage: Eukaryota
Description: partial 18S ribosomal RNA
Rfam family: Eukaryotic small subunit ribosomal RNA
Source: RNAcentral
CCCUUAGAUGUUCUGGGCCGCACGCGCGCUACACUGACGAAUGCAACGAGCUUAUAACCUUGGCCGAAAGGUCUGGGUAAUCUCCAAAUUUCGUCGUGAUGGGGAUAGAUUAUUGCAAUUAUUAAUCUUCAACGAGGAAUGCCUAGUAAGCGCAAGUCAUCAGCUUGCGUUGAUUACGUCCCUGCCCUUUGUACACACCGCCCGUCGCUCCUACCGAUUGAAUGUCCGGUGAAGCGUUCGGACCGUGGCCUUUGGACGGUUCGCCGUCUGUUGGCUGCGGGAAGUUCGUUAAACCUUAUCAUUUAGAGGAAGGAGAAGUCGUAACA